GAUGAAGAACGUAGCGAAAUGCGAUACUUGGUGUGAAUUGCAGAAUCCCGUGAACCAUCGAGUCUUUGAACGCAAGUUGCGCCCGAAGCCAUUAGGCCGAGGGCACGCCUGCCUGGGCGUCACACGUCGUUGCCCCCCCAUCUACUCCUUCGGGAUUGCGGGGGCGGAUGAUGGCCUCCCGUGCGCCUAGUCGCGCGGUUGGCAUAAUAGCCAAGUCCUCGGCGACGCACGCCACGACAAUCGGUGGUUGCGAAACCUCGGUUGCCCGUCGUGUGCGGUCGUCGCGCAUCGAGGGCUCGAAAAAAUUGCCGGGCUCCGGCUCGGCUUUCAACGCGACCCCAGGUCAGGCGGGGUUACCCGCUGAAUUUAAGCAUAUCAAUAAGCGGAGGA
Molecule: unclassified non-coding RNA, 390 nt
Filed under: soil metagenome
Description: partial contains 5.8S ribosomal RNA, internal transcribed spacer 2, and large subunit ribosomal RNA
Rfam family: 5.8S ribosomal RNA (bases 1-122)
Source: RNAcentral